GGUUCUCUCUCUCUCUCUCUCUCGGUUUGUCUGCUCUUUUCUUCCUCUGUGCAGGUGUUCCAGACAUUGGCUGAAGGCCGGAGGAUGGAGGGAACGUUUGGGGACGAUCCGCCGAGGUUGUGGACGUGAGAUCCCUCGCCGGCUACAUCGGUAAUUUUGUUUAUUUUUAUUUAUUUUAUUCAUUUAUUCUCACUGGAAAUGGAAAUUUGGGCGCUCAGUAGAUGUUUACUCUCAGACAUCUCCACACUCACCAAGUAAUGGAAAUUGGGCGAGUAGGGUUGUUCAAUGAAACAUUUUGGAAACACGAAUGGGAUAAGCACGAUUGCAAUAGGAAAGACACCUUCCCUCCACUGCAACAAGGAUAAAUCUGGCCAUAACCAAUUAUUCGAAAUUAUUUUAUGUUUUGA
Cucurbita maxima (winter squash) is the source of this 407-nucleotide long non-coding RNA. RefSeq lists it as uncharacterized. Lineage: Eukaryota; Viridiplantae; Streptophyta; Magnoliopsida; Cucurbitales; Cucurbitaceae. The record is from RefSeq and is a predicted model, not a curated record. The transcript has 2 exons.